GAUAAGACUAAGAAACGUAGUGAAAAAACAUCAAAGCGUAAGGAGACAGCUCCCUGUUUUAGAUGUGGGACUAUCCGACAUUGGGAGAAUGAGUGUAAGGUGAUACUGGAACCUACUGCGUUAGCGGGAAAUGCAGCUAUACAAGAUUUUGCAUAUUUUUCAAAAGAGCAACAAGGUUACGUCAGAUCGUGUCUUAAUGCAUGGUAGAAGUAAUUUGACCAUAGACAGUGUGUGUAAACCUCAAAACCCUCCCUAACCGGCUGAAGAAAGAGCGACGGAGGCGUGCAAGGAGAGACAGUGACUUACCACUCCUAUCUGAGUCCGAGCCAUAAAACAGGGCCGGGGUGGUGAGAGCGUGUGUGGAGUGAGCGUGGAGAGAGAGAACAAGCUCAGGUGAGAGACUCGUGUAGGUGGGAGAAACGGAAGUAUCUACUUGGAUAUUACAAUCGGGACAUUAUCAAGGGCCAUGAAAUGUGACAGGCAAAAGUUACAUGUGAUGUUGGGAAAAUGAACUGUAAACGAUAUCUGAAGAAGACACGCUAGAAUGAUAAGUGCCGGGUGAAGGAAAGGGGGGGUGGUAUACGCCCGGCUAACUAUUUAAACUAGGAAUGCAUUGAGAUACUGAUCUUUCUUUACCAGGCCACUCAUGACAGGAAAACAGGGAUGAAAGGGGGCUGUAAUGAGAAGAGUUAUGACCGGCAAUAAAAAGUUGUUUAUAAAUGUAUGUUCUAACAGGGAUGAUGUUUGCGAAAUUGAUAAACUGGAAUUUGAGCCUUAGUCUCAGAGUAAGCUCUGAGGUCAGUCACUCAAUAUUCGGGUUGGAUAAUUUAUAAAAUGUUUUAGUUGUGAUUGGGAUACAGCGAGAGAGAAUUGCUAAAGCACGAUGAGCGGUGGGGGCACUGCUAACAUUUAUGUGGCCGAGAGAGUCUCCAGACACUUACCUCUAAGUGUCAUCCUGAGUGGAGGUGGUUUGUUUGGGGAAUCACUGGAUGAUAGCUUGGGGCAACCAUGAAAGUUUUUUUUCGUUUUAUCCUGUAUUCAGAGUUUUUAUGUUACAUCGCAUCAAUGAGUGGUGCUAAGUUAUUAAACAUGUACUUUGUUUCUCUUUUCUUUUCACAUCAAUAUGUUUUUAGGUUUCGUGGAACAUGAGGCUGUUCAUUGUUCCAGAGGAGGGAAUGAUGUAUAUUGACUAACUGAGUUGAGAAUGUGUUAGGAUGUUUAUAACUGUAGAAAAUGCAUGAGGAGUAUAGUGUGUUAUGGGUUAGAUGUAAUGAUAGAGGAGUAUCAUUCCCCAGAGACUGUAUAUUGUUACAGGAGAUAGCUCAUAGAAGAGGGAGAGCAGCUAACUGUACAAAAUAUGGGGAUUUAAUGGAACAUUACACAUACCUAGAUCAUGGUGAGAGUAGAAGAGAUAGUGGUGGCAUUUCAGACACUAUGGUAAACUUUCAGGACACCAAUGACUCAGAGUUUUGUUAGGUUGGAUAUUAUUCCCAACUCAUUUAGUUUUUCUCCAAUUUCUAACAGCUGGCAAACAUUUGACAGAUUACAUGCAGGAGGUAUUCUCACGGCAGAGGCGCUGUAGGGACAGUAACUGAAGGAGCUGUACUAGUAGCGUAGGAUGCUAUAUUGAUAGCAUGGAAUUGGACUACUGCGCAAAUGAGGGGUAUUGUGAGACUAUAGUCAUGGGCCAUGUUGGAAGUAGCAAUGGUUACUUUAGUAGCAUUGUUGGGAUAGCAGUUUAUGACAACUCAUGUCACAUGGAUUGGUUACUGGUAACUGGGGGACCAAUGGGAGGACAGGGGAUGCGGUUAUUCAAAUAUCACAAAUUAUGUUGUCAGGAAAUGACCCAUGUGUUACAGUGUGCAUAUCCUCAGGUGAAAGCAGAGAUAUAACCAAGGGCACGGGCUGAAUUCUGGAGAUAGUGUACAUCUUGAGAGAC
Molecule: long non-coding RNA, 1939 nt
Filed under: Salmo salar (Atlantic salmon)
Lineage: Eukaryota; Metazoa; Chordata; Actinopteri; Salmoniformes; Salmonidae
Description: lncRNA (ENSSSAG00000121998.1)
Source: RNAcentral